GGGCCGCCCUCGUUCCUCCCGGAGCGCAGCGACAGCUCCUCCCCGCGUCUCGGGUUUCAAUGGCUGGGCCUGCCCGAAAGCUCUGGGCCCCCGCGUCCCAAUUUUUUCUUUAUUUUUGAAGGAUAAUAUUGCUGGACAUAGAAUUCUUUGUUGACAUUGGUCAGCUCUUUGAAUAUGUCAUCCAGUAUCUUCUGGCCUCCGUGGUUUAUGGUUUUGGCAGAGUUCAAAGACUGGGAAGCAAAGUUCAGCCAUGUUGGGCCUUUGGGCUCAUAGAUGAGCAAGGGUACCCCAAUAUGAGGGCUCAGCAAAUUCUGGAACUUAUCAGUUCUGAAGACCUUUAGAGGAGAAGGAGACAAGUAAAAGGUAUGUAGUCCUGGAGGGCGCUGCUUAAUGAACCAGAAGUCCUGCCUCUUAAGUACCUCACCAGCUCAAAUGUGUGCAUGUCACCUUGGCGUGAAUCGGAGCAGGCGCUGGUGGAUACCGUUUGGAGGCAUGCCAGCAAGGAGCUCCUUGUGUAGCCUGCCUCUGGAGCCUCAAGUUCAACUUCCAUAGGGCCAAAAGGGGAGUCGGGCUGGGCAGAAGCUCCUGAGAACCAAAGCAAAUGGUCUGAGAGUCUGAGAGUGUAGUGGAGGUAACGUGUUCGUGUCCUCUCUGGCUGCAUCACCCCAAGUCCUUGCAGACUCAAGUAGCCUAUUUGCAAGUUUAAAUAGUUUGAGUCCUGGCCGGUAACAAGAAUACUCUACAGUGGCCCAGAGUCAGGGAUAUAGAGUGGCGACUACUUGGCAGAACUGGAGCUUGCUCAGAUGAAAAGAUAAAUUGUACUGGUUAAACGAA
Molecule: long non-coding RNA, 834 nt
Filed under: Homo sapiens (human)
Lineage: Eukaryota; Metazoa; Chordata; Mammalia; Primates; Hominidae
Description: long intergenic non-protein coding RNA 1582
Source: RNAcentral